GACGAACGCUGGCGGCGUGCUUAACACAUGCAAGUCGAACGGAAAGGCCCUGCUUUUGUGGGGUGCUCGAGUGGCGAACGGGUGAGUAACACGUGAGUAACCUGCCCUUGACUUUGGGAUAACUUCAGGAAACUGGGGCUAAUACCGGAUAGGAGCUCCUGCUGCAUGGUGGGGGUUGGAAAGUUUCGGCGGUUGGGGAUGGACUCGCGGCUUAUCAGCUUGUUGGUGGGGUAGUGGCUUACCAAGGCUUUGACGGGUAGCCGGCCUGAGAGGGUGACCGGCCACAUUAGGACUGGAAUGAGGCCCGGACCCCUACCGGAGGCAACGGUGGGGAAUAUUGCAACAUGGGCGGGAGGCUGGUGCAACAAAGCCGCGUGGGGGGAGACGGGCUUUGGGUUGGUAACCGCUUUCCCCUGGGACGGAACGUUAGUGACGGUAAUGGGUAAAGAAGCACCGGCUAACUACGUG
This 468-nucleotide ribosomal RNA is filed under the name uncultured bacterium. RNAcentral describes it as "partial 16S ribosomal RNA". It matches the Rfam family "Bacterial small subunit ribosomal RNA", at positions 28 to 507 of the family's 1533-position model. The record is from RNAcentral.